AAGUCCUAUCUGAAUAUUCUAAAGGCACCAGAUCCUAUUUGAUCAUGGAAGCUAAGUAGAUUCAACUUUGGUUAGUACUUGGAAAGGAGACUGCCAAAGAAUACCAGGUGCUGUAUUCA
RNAcentral lists this ribosomal RNA (119 nucleotides) under Anolis carolinensis (green anole). Lineage: Eukaryota; Metazoa; Chordata; Lepidosauria; Squamata; Anolidae. The record is from RNAcentral.